Trichoplusia ni (cabbage looper) is the source of this 630-nucleotide long non-coding RNA. RefSeq lists it as uncharacterized. The record is from RefSeq and is a predicted model, not a curated record. Lineage: Eukaryota; Metazoa; Arthropoda; Insecta; Lepidoptera; Noctuidae. The transcript has 2 exons.
CGGGAAUAAUGCUGCACUGUAGGAAAAUUAUUAACUUUUCGAAUGCCACGUCGGUCACCUGUGACUGACGAACGAGACACCUCAUUGUAAUAGCUGACUCGCUGUUCAGUGUUAAGAUAAUAUACUUGUGUAUGUCCCGAAUAUCUUUAGCGAAUCUAAACUAUUAAUUAAUUAACCUUAUUACCUAAUUAGCGCUAUUCUGGUAAAUGGUACUAACAAUGGUAACAAUUUUAAUAAUAUCACUAACAGACCACUGCACGCCUGUUUGCCGCUUUAUGAAACCUGUUUCUCCGGGUUGUCAUAGGUCAUAUCAAGUUCCAGAAAUCGCAGUACAGGAAUCCUCAUGUUCCACCGUCGACAAUUGUAGCUAAGAUAAUUGGAUGUAUACUCCAAGAUGAAGUGUGUCGUGAAGAGGCGUUAAUAAAAUCGAGACAUUCUAUAGCCGACAUGCGAUCUCAGCCAAACAUUAAUGCAAUUCUCGCCGCGCGUAUGCGUAACAACUAACAAAUUUGACCUCGCAGAACCAUGUGGGUAUACGCGUUAUUUAUGCAUAUUUUUGUUAAUUAUUUCAAUUGACUAUUACCGUUUGUUAAAUAUUAUGUUAUUGUGCAAUCAUUAUUAUAGAAUUCC